Molecule: unclassified non-coding RNA, 295 nt
Filed under: uncultured Fusarium
Lineage: Eukaryota; Fungi; Ascomycota; Sordariomycetes; Hypocreales; Nectriaceae
Description: partial contains 5.8S ribosomal RNA, internal transcribed spacer 2, and large subunit ribosomal RNA
Rfam family: 5.8S ribosomal RNA (bases 1-102)
Source: RNAcentral
AUGCGAUAAGUAAUGUGAAUUGCAGAAUUCAGUGAAUCAUCGAAUCUUUGAACGCACAUUGCGCCCGCCAGUAUUCUGGCGGGCAUGCCUGUUCGAGCGUCAUUUCAACCCUCAAGCACAGCUUGGUGUUGGGACUCGCGUUAAUUCGCGUUCCUCAAAUUGAUUGGCGGUCACGUCGAGCUUCCAUAGCGUAGUAGUAAAACCCUCGUUACUGGUAAUCGUCGCGGCCACGCCGUUAAACCCCCAACUUCUGAAUGUUGACCUCGGAUCAGGUAGGAAUACCCGCUGAACUUAA